GACGAACGCUGGCGGCGUGCCUAAUACAUGCCAGUAGAACGCUGAAGGAAGGAGCUUGCUCUUUCUGGAUGAGUUGCGAACGGGUGAGUAACGCGUAGGUAACCUGCCUGGUAGCGGGGGAUAACUAUUGGAAACGAUAGCUAAUACCGCAUAAAAUUGAUUAUUGCAUGAUAGUCAAUUAAAAGGUGCAACUGCACCACUACCAGAUGGACCUGCGUUGUAUUAGCUAGUUGGUGGGGUAACGGCUCACCAAGGCGACGAUACAUAGCCGACCUGAGAGGGUGAUCGGCCACACUGGGACUGAGACACGGCCCAGACUCCUACGGGAGGCAGCAGUAGGGAAUCUUCGGCAAUGGACGGAAGUCUGACCGAGCAACGCCGCGUGAGUGAAGAAGGGUUUCGGAUCGUAAAGCUCUGUUGUAAGAGAAGAACGAGUGUGAGAGUGGAAAGUUCACACUGUGACGGUAUCUUACCAGAAAGGGACGGCUAACUACGUG
This 497-nucleotide ribosomal RNA is filed under the name uncultured bacterium. RNAcentral's name for it is "partial 16S ribosomal RNA". It matches the Rfam family "Bacterial small subunit ribosomal RNA", at positions 28 to 507 of the family's 1533-position model. The record is from RNAcentral.